AUGGCAACGAUCCCUUUGAAGAUGUAUCCAUCCCUGAUCUUGAAACUUGCCAGUGAUUGUUCUAGAGAUUUUCCGUUAAUUGAACUAGUUCUUGUUGUAUUUUUCGAUAGUAAGCCCAUUCUUCCUGUUGCAGCAGGGGUAGGAUGAGACUUUGGUAGGUGAUCCGCAAAAGCACUGGUUCUGUCCAUGAAACGGGCAAUGUGGCCUCGCUUCAUGCCAAACUGAGAAGAAAGCUGUACAGUGCUUAAGUUAAGGAGCUCAGACAGACAUUUCCCACUGGACUCGAGCCUAUCUCCGUAUUGCAUCAAAGCUCGGUCGUGCAGGUCGGUACAUCAUCCCAGCCUUCAUCUAACAGCUUUGGAAUCAGUCCUUUCGGAACCCCGUCCCCAACAAACUCCUCUAUCGAAAAAGAAGCCAUCUUCGAAGAAACCAGAGAAUGUUCCAAACGAAUCAGUGCUCGCUCAAUCGAGUCUGGAUGUAGAGAUGAAAACCCUAUUGCUGUUAGGCUCAGCUGCGCAAGAGUCGACAUAUAUAAA
Molecule: small RNA, 536 nt
Filed under: Malus domestica (apple)
Lineage: Eukaryota; Viridiplantae; Streptophyta; Magnoliopsida; Rosales; Rosaceae
Description: sRNA MD16G0047700
Source: RNAcentral